CCUACGGGAGGCAGCAGUAGGGAAUAUUGCUCAAUGGGGGAAACCCUGAAGCAGCAACGCCGCGUGGAGGAUGAAGGUUUUCGGAUUGUAAACUCCUUUUGUUAGAGAAGAUAAUGACGGUAUCUAACGAAUCCCCACCGGGUAACUCCGCGCCAGCAGCCGCGGUAAUACGGAGGGUGCCAGCGUUACUCGGAAUCACUGGGGGGAACGAGCGCGUAGGCGGGAUAGCAAGUCAGCUGUGAAAUCCUAUGGCGUAACCAUAGAACUGCAUUUGAAACUGUUAUUCUAGAGUAUGGGAGAGGUAGGUGGAAUUCUUGGUGUAGGGGUAAAAUCCGUAGAGAUCAAGAGGAAUACUCAUUGCGAAGGCGACCUGCUAGAACAUAACUGACGCUGAUGCGCGAAAGCGUGGGGAGCAAACAGGAUUAGAUACCCGGGUAGUC
RNAcentral lists this ribosomal RNA (440 nucleotides) under uncultured bacterium. RNAcentral describes it as "partial 16S ribosomal RNA". It matches the Rfam family "Bacterial small subunit ribosomal RNA", at positions 338 to 795 of the family's 1533-position model. The record is from RNAcentral.